This 6674-nucleotide long non-coding RNA is filed under the name Erythranthe guttata (spotted monkey flower). Its description in RNAcentral is "long non-coding RNA (EGUT_LNC000730)". The record is from RNAcentral. Lineage: Eukaryota; Viridiplantae; Streptophyta; Magnoliopsida; Lamiales; Phrymaceae.
GGGUUUUCCAUACUGGUCUUUCGACCUCAGGUAUUUGCCACCAUGUGUUGGGUCCGCCGGUUCCUCCCGCGUCCCUUGCCUACUCGACCAUCAAUCAAGUACCAUACUCCCAUUUUCAAAACAUAUUCUUUCAUAUCACUAUGACUCAUCAAUCAUUCAAACAUCAUGGAGAACACGUAGCAAAAGUCACAUUAAAGCACACAUAAUUAGGUUCUUAUGAUGAACAAAUGAAAGCUUCAACUUACCUCAAGUCCAAUAUGGUCUAUGAAGUGAAAAGAUCAGUCUCAUAUAGGUUGUGCUAGAGUCCUUGAUUAUAGAUGAAUUCAAACUUCAAAACGUAGAAUUUUAAGCUAGAAAAGGUGAAGAACUUGUUCUAGCUAUACUUCUAUGAGUUCUUAGGGUUUGAUAUUCUCUUAUGUGAAUAUGGAAGUGAAGAAAUAAGAAGAGAAGCUUAAGUGAAUAGGUCUGGUCGUUUUUGGAAGAAGACAAGUGAAAAUGAAGACCAAAACUCUAAGUCUUCACUUAUCUACCCAUUCCCAACAAGGCCAAAUGGAGGGUGGUGAUUGGAAGGCUUGUAUUUGCUGGAUUCUUGUGGUUCCUCCACGUUUUUAUAGCUUGACAUGAGAUAGGGGGCUGAUGCUUACUCAUUAUAAUCAAGUGUAAACAAUUUCAGAAUGGUCUUGUGCAACCUAGUCAACCAGCCAAUCAAAUUGCACCCUUUUGCAUACUUUUGGUUUUAGUCUAAUAUGAGUUACUUCAAGUAAUUACAUAUGUAAUUAAUCAUAUUAAAAUGUAAUUAAAAUGCAGAACUGCAAUUAAGACAAAUAUAUCAGCGUUUAGCACAUUGAUCCCUUCUUAACCGAGAAACUGAGCUUCUAACUACAAUAAAUCACUUAAGUCUCAUGUUAAAUCAUAAAAUAGGAGUUCAAUAACAUGUAUCAUGUAUCAGCACAUUUUAAGAAAAGUAUUCGAUCACGUAUUAAAACACAAUUAAGGCACACGUGUAACAAGUAGUCGUGAUCAUGCAUCAUGAAUAAUGAAUUAUAACUACAUGCAUUGAUGCAAUAUGCUUAUUAUUGGCCAUGUACGGAUGAUUGGGCAUUACAAUAACUUUCUCAUCCGGACUCCAAAUCGACUGGUUCCGACGGCAUUAGAAAGGAUAUUUGCUAUGCAUUUCUUCCUCUCUUUCCCACGUGGCUUCUUCAAUAGAUUGAUUUCUCCACAAUACCUUAACUAACGGAAUCUUUUUAUUUCUCAGCUCCUUGACUUUUUGAUCAAUAAUUUGAAUUGGUUUCUCCUCAUAAGACAAAUCUGCAGAAAACUCCAACGGUUCAUAACUCAACACAUGAGAGGGAUUUGAAAUGUACUUCUUCAACAUAGACACAUGGAAAACAUUGUGAACACCAGAUAAUGAAGGAGGUAAGGCUACUCUAUAUGCUCUAUCACCAACUCUUUCAAGGAUUUCAAACGGACCAACAUAUCUCGGACUAAGUUUUCCUUUCUUUCCAAAUCUCAUGAUGCCUUUCAAUGGAGCCACUUUCAAAAAUACAUGGUCGCCAACCGUAAACUCUAGAUCUCUUCUUCGUUUAUCUGCAUAACUUUUCUGUCUACUCUGUGCCGUCUUCAUUCUUUCCCUUAUCUUUUGUACCGUCUCAGCUGUAUGUUGCACCAUCUCUGGCCCAAGUAGACUUCUUUCGCCAACUUCAUCCCAAUGAACUGGAGAUCUACAUUUUCUCCCAUAUAGUGCUUCAUAAGGUGCCAUUCCAAUUGUGGAUUGAUAGCUGUUAUUGUAAGUGAACUCUAUCAAUGGAAGCUUUUCAUCCCAGCUCCCUUUCAAAUCUAGAACACAAGCUCUUAACAUAUCCUCAAGUAUUUGAAUAACUCUCUCGGAUUGUCCAUCGGUCUGUGGAUGAAAUGUUGUACUAAAUGCAAGCUUCGUCCCCAUGGCAUUGUGCAAACUCUUCCAAAAUGCAGAAGUAAACUUCGGAUCUCUAUCAGACACUAUUGACACUGGCACUCCAUGCAAUCUAACUACCUCUUUAAUAUAUUGUUGUGCAUAUUGCUCCAUGUUGAAUGUGGACUUCACUGGAAGAAAAUGGGCUGAUUUAGUUAGUCUAUCAACAACCACCCAUAUGGAAUUGUAUCCCCUUUGUGUUCUAGGCAAUCCAAGCACAAAAUCCAUUGUAAUAUGCUCCCAUUUCCACUCUGGAAUCAGUAAAGGUUUCAAUAGUCCUGCUGGUCUUUGAUGUUCCAUUUUAACUUGUUGACAAGUGAGGCAUUCGGCCACAAACUUUGCUAUAUCUUUCUUCAUGUUAGGCCACCAGUAGUGUAGUUGUAAGUCUUUGUACAUUUUUGUGCUGCCCGGGUGCACUGAGUAAGGACUUCUGUGAGCUUCUUCCAAAAUGUCGCCCUUUAUGUUAGCAUCAAAAGGAACACACAAUCUGCCUUUAUAUCUAAUUAUUUCAUCGUUACCAAUAGAGAAGUUCGGCCUCUUUUUAGCAUCAAUCAUACUUCGCAACCUGGACAAAUACUUAUCCACUUUCUGAGCCUCUUUGAUUCGGUCAUGCAAUACGGGUUUUAAUACUAAAGAUGAUAAAGAACUAACCGUCCCUUUAGGUACAAUUUCAAGCUCUAAUCUUUGUAAAUCCAGUAGUAUUGGUUUCUGCAUAACAAGGAAGGAAGACAUAGAUUUUCGACUCAAUGCAUCUGCAACUACAUUAGCUUUACCAGGAUGAUAGUUAAUCACACAGUCAUAAUCCUUCACAAGUUCUAACCAUCUUCGUUGUCUCAUAUUCAAUUCUUUCUGAGUGAAGAAGUACUUCAAGCUCUUGUGAUCCGUGUAAAUCUCACAUUUCUCACCAUAUAGGUAAUGCCUCCAAAUUUUCAAGGCAAACACAACGGCAGCAAGCUCUAAAUCAUGAGUUGGGUAAUUCUUCUCAUACACCUUCAAUUGUCUUGAAGCAUAGGCGAUAACAUUCCCAUGUUGCAUCAAUACAGCACCCAAUCCAUUUUUUUGAAGCAUCACUAUACACUACGAAUCCACCAGUUCCAGAAGGAAUGACGAGAACAUUAGCUGUAGUCAAUCUCCGUUUCAACUCUUGAAAGCUACUUUCACAUGCAUCAGUCCAUACAUACUUCACGUUCUUUCGUGUAAGCAUUGUUAAUGGAGUUGCUAUCUUCGAAAAUCCCUGAACAAAUCUUCGAUAAUAUCCUGCCAAUCCUAAGAAACUUCUAACCUCUGAUACAGAUGUUGGUGUUGGCCAAUUUUUGACAGCUUCUAUCUUACUCGGAUCGACAGAAAUACCAUUCUUGGACACGACAUGCCCUAGGAAUACAACUUGAUCAAGCCAAAACUCGCACUUCUUAAAUUUAGCAUAUAGUUGCCGUUCUUUCAAUAUUUGCAACACCACUCUCAAAUGUUCUCUAUGUUCGUCUUUAUCAUGGGAAUAGAUCAAGAUAUCAUCAAUGAACACAAUCACAAAUUUGUCGAGGAACUCCUUGAACACCCUAUUCAUCAAAUCCAUAAAAGCUGCGGGGGCAUUUGUUAAGCCAAAGGGCAUGACUAGAAAUUCAUAAUGUCCGUACCUUGUUCUAAAUGCAGUCUUUUGUAUGUCAUCCUCCUUUAUUUUCAAUUGAUGAUACCCGGAGCGUAAAUCGAUCUUCGAAAAUAUUGAUGCUCCUUGCAAUUGAUCAAACAAAUCAUCUAUUCUGGGUAGUGGAUAUUUGUUCUUGAUUGUAAGUUUGUUCAGUUCUCUAUAAUCGAUGCAUAAACGUAAUGUACCAUCUUUCUUUUUCACAAACAAAACCGGUGCUCCCCAAGGAGAAUAACUCGGCCGAAUAAGACCUUUAUGCAACAAGUCUUGUAGUUGAAUCUUCAACUCUUUUAGUUCUGUUGGUGCCAUUCUGUAUGGAGCUUUAGAAAUAGGAGUACUUCCGGGCAACGUAUCAAUAAGAAAUUCAAUUUCUCGAUCCGGUGGUAGUCCUGGUAAGUCAUCUGGAAAUACCUCAAGAAAUUGAUCAACCACAUCCACAUCUUGGGGUUUCAAUUGUGUUCGUACUGAAGUGUCCAUAACAUUAACCAAGUAUCCAACACAACCCCUACUCAUCAUCUUUUGAGCCUUCAAUGCAGCUAUAAAUGGUAUUGAAGAUGAAAGUGAAUGACCGCCGAACUCGAAAUGUUCUUCAUCAGGUGGUUGGAAGAUGACAACCUUCCGAUUACAAUUAAUGGUUGCAUAAUAUUUUGUAAGCCAAUCCAUGCCCAAAAUAGUCUCAAAAUUUGCGACAGGUAAAACAACAAGAUCCGCACAAAGUGUUCUACCACUAAUCUGAAUAGAACAAUGUUUCAACAUUUGGUUGGAAUUCAUCUCUUCCCCUGAUGGAGUCGUCACAUUGUACAUCACAUCCAACGUAUCUGGUAUAAUGCCCAAUCUCCUCACCAAUGAAUGUGAUGCAAAUGAAUGAGUAGAUCCUGAGUCUAUUAAUGCAAGUGCUGGAGUUCCUAAAAUUAAAAUAGUACCUGAGACAACGGAUGCAUCUACAUCACCUUGUUCUUUAGUCAUUGCAUACACUCUUGCUUGAACUUUGACUGGUGGGGUGCGACAAUCCCUUGCAAUAUGCCCUGGCUUCUUACACCUGAAGCAACGAUUUAAACCGCUAUAGCAUUCUCCAAAAUGAUUCUUCCCACAUGUGGCACACUUGGGCUUUUCAACUGUAGUAGAACUUUGUACAACUCUAGGGCGCUUCUCAUUUACUUGGCCUGAUUUUUGCUCUGGUUUCUUCCAUUGAGAUUGAGUUCCUGGAGUAAAAGUUUGCCUCUUCUGUUGAUGAAAUUUCUGAAUUUCCUUCUCAUCAAAGUCAGCCAUCAAUGCGUUGUCCACCACUUGUCGAAACUCGUUUGGAGAAGAGAUCCUUACAUCUUUUCUAAUAACUGGGUUGAGGCCUCUCAUGAAGUGAUCCAUCUUUUCUUUGUUAUCUUUAGCUAUGUAAGGUACAUACUUGCAACCCUCCUCGAAUUUUCGCACGUAGUCACAUACGGACAUUUCAUUCUGCUUCAAUUCUAAGAACUCUUUUACUUUGAGUGACCGGACAUCCCUCGUGAAAUACUUGUCAUAAAAGAUUGUUUUGAAUGCCUCCCAUGUCAACUUCUCCAUAUCCACUGCAAGUUUUGUACCCUCCCACCAAGUUCUAGCUUCUUUCUUCAAUAGGAAAAUGGCACAAAGUACUUUCUCGGAAUCUUCGAUACGCAUGUAAUCAAAGAUGACGUCUAGAGAUUUAACCCAUUCUUCCGCAACCAUAGGAUCAGACCCACCAUAGAAAUCAACCGGUUCCAUUUUACGAAAUUUCUCAUACACGGUAAGAGAGUUAUCGUGUCUAGCUUGUGGAGGAGGUUGUUGGUUUUGUUCAUGGGUUCGCUGUUGCAUAUCGAACAAUUUUUGUAUCUGUUCGCCAUGCAUUCUAGUCUGUUGCUGAAUCAAACCAGCUAAAUUAUCAACUAAGUUGUAGUCACCCUCGUGGUCAACAUUCCCUGUCUUCCUUUUUGGUGCCAUUACUUCCUAUACAUUGCCGAAUCUCAUCCCAUUCAUUAGCCAAUACUAAUGCACAAUCAUGACAAUGGCAUACAUAUGUUAAGAUAAUCAAACACAUAGGUAAAUAAGAAUAGAGUUAACCAAGCUUCCCAGCCAAAGUAUGUUCAUAUGCGUUCUUCUGUCUUCAGAAAAGAUUUUAAACCUCCGCUCUGAUACCACAAAAUGUAACGCCCCACAACCUAACAGCAGAAUCCAAUCCGAUCACCACCAUUAAGUUAGGGAUGCUAACCUUUUUAUAUACACUUAAAUAUUAUGGUUUUAAUACAAAAUAAGUUAUAUGCUUUGAAAAGAAAUCAAACUUUGUGCUUUCUCAAAAUCUGUACAUAUACGUAUAUAAAUAUUUAAUGUUUACAAAAUUACAUUGUACAAAAACCAUAAUAGAGCGGCUAACAAAAUUAAAUCAGAGUUUCAAGCUCGGCUACAAAAAUGGCUCGAAGCAUGGCAUAUGAACAAAUCUCUGACUGGCCGCUUUUGGCUAGGUCAACUUCUAAAUAUGUACAUCAUUACCUGCAUCAUAAGAACCUAAUGAGCUAAUGGCUCAGCAAGUUGAAACUGAUGUAAUAGCAAUAUAUCACAUAACACAUUAUUCAUUCAAUAAGUACAAUAUCACAUAUAACUUCAUUCAUGAUCCUUUUCUUUGAAAUCCUUCUCUUUAUCGGGUACCCUUGAAGUGUGGUACUUGACUGAUAGCAAUAGGCUUUCGUUUUCGGAACCUGUUCAUCAUAUUUGGCCAUAGAUAAUACGGGGGUUUCCAUACCGGCCUUUCGACCUCAGGUAUUAGCCGUAUUUCAUUUCAUUAAUUGUGGGUUUUCCAUACUGGUCUUUCGACCUCAGGUAUUUGCCACCAUGUGUUGGGUCCGCCGGUUCCUCCCGCGUCCCUUGCCUACUCGACCAUCAAUCAAGUACCAUACUCCCAUUUUCAAAACAUAUUCUUUCAUAUCACUAUGACUCAUCAAUCAUUCAAACAUCAUGGAGAACACGUAGCAAAAGUCACAUUAAAGCACACAUAAUUAGGUUCUUAUGAUGAACAAAUGAAAGCUUCAACUUACCUCAAGUCCAAUAUGGUCUAUGAAGUGAAAAGAUCAGUCU